This 301-nucleotide ribosomal RNA is filed under the name uncultured bacterium. Its description in RNAcentral is "partial 16S ribosomal RNA". It matches the Rfam family "Bacterial small subunit ribosomal RNA", at positions 509 to 808 of the family's 1533-position model. The record is from RNAcentral.
CAGUAGCCGCGGUAAUACGUAGGUCCCGAGCGUUGUCCGGAUUUAUUGGGCGUAAAGCGAGCGCAGGCGGUUAGAUAAGUCUGAAGUUAAAGGCUGUGGCUUAACCAUAGUACGCCUUGGAAACUGUUUAACUUGAGCGCAGAAGGGGAGAGUGGAAUUCCAUGUGUAGCGGUGAAAUGCGUAGAUAUAUGGAGGAACACCGGUGGCGAAAGCGGCUCACUGGUCUGUAACUGACGCUGAGGCUCGAAAGCGUGGGGAGCGAACAGGAUUAGAUACCCCCGUAGUCCCUGUCUCUUAUACC